AACGAACGCUGGCGGCAGGCUUAACACAUGCAAGUCGAGCGAGACCUUCGGGUCUAGCUGCGUAGGUGUGAGUAACGCGGGGGAACGUGCCCUUCUCUACGGAAUAGCCCCGGGUAACUGGGGGUAAUACCGUAGACGCUCUUUUGGGGAAAGAAUUAUCGGAGAAGGAUCGGCCUGUGUUGGAUUAGGUAGUUGGUGGGGUAAUGUCCCACCAAGUGGACGAUCCAUAGCUGGAUGGAGAGGAUGAUCAGCCACACUGGGCCUGAGAGACGGCCCAGUCUCCUACGGGAGGCAGCAGUGGGGAAUCUUAGACAACGAGGGCAACCCUAAUCAAGCCAUGCCGCGUGAUUGAUGAAGGCCUUAGGGUUGUAAAGCUCUUUCAGCGGGGAAGAUAAUGACGGUACCAGAAGAAGAAGCCCCGGCUAACUCCGUG
Molecule: ribosomal RNA, 433 nt
Filed under: uncultured bacterium
Lineage: Bacteria
Description: partial 16S ribosomal RNA
Rfam family: Bacterial small subunit ribosomal RNA
Source: RNAcentral